Molecule: long non-coding RNA, 1749 nt
Organism: Anolis carolinensis (green anole)
Lineage: Eukaryota; Metazoa; Chordata; Lepidosauria; Squamata; Anolidae
Source: Ensembl
GAAUUGUAAUGACUUCUGUUAAUUUGGGUUGUUCUAACUUCAUUUGUGGAGGUAAGACAAGAUAGUAGAGAAAGUAAUGGACUUUCUUUCUUUCUUUCUUUUAAAAAUCUUCAGACUAGAGAUAACAGGAAUUUAUCUCUUCCAGCAGAAAGAGACAUCACAUUCUUGAACAUUAUUAAAAUAGUCUUGAGGACCAUUUGUAAUAAAUAAUAAUAUAUAAUAAUAACUUUAUUUUUAUACCCCGCCCCAUCUCCCCGAAGGGACUCGGGGCGGCUUACAUGGGGCCUGGCCCGAUGUCAGGACCUAGGCUGCAGAGCACCAAUAACCAUACACAGAGGCCAGAAUCUAUCUAAUAUCUUUAUUGUGGGAAUAUAUAAAGUUAAUAAAAACAAGUGUAGAAAAUAGUCCAGAAGUAGACCUUCCAGGAAAGGUCAAAAUUAGUCCAAAGAAACAAUGUCCAAUAUGAAAUAUUAAGGUCCAAAGUUGUAAUCCAGUAACCGAAACACUCACUUUGCCAAGCAAAGUGAGGGGAGAUGACAAGGUCCUAUAGUCCAUGAAACUUAAGCAAGGCUAGGAAGUAAACUUGAUUCUUGGAACACUAGGCUUAAUUCAAGGCAACAAGAAACGAGGAGCAAGAACAGGAUCCGUGGUAAAUUCGUGGCGAGGUCCGGAAAGCAAGGCAAGGUCCGUGGAGCAAGGCAAGGUCCUGGGAAGCAAGGCAAGGCUGGAAAUGGGAGCAAAGGGCUUGAACGCGGGAGUAGCGUAGUCCACACACAACCUACUCCCGAAGCUGAUGAAUUGACUCCGCAAGAUUCCUACGUGGGCAAAACACCUAAAUAGGGUCUCGUUUUCCCGCCAAAGAACAAUUCUCUGGGGAACCAGAACCGAAAGCCAUCCUCUGUGUCCAGAUGCAUGACUCCCUAAAGUUUCCCAUGGGAAGCAGGCUUAAUCAGCUGAAUGCCUGGCAGCAAUCCUAGCACUCCUGCGAGACGCCUCCUGAGCGCCUUUCUGUUGUUUAUAAUAAUCACGGCGAGAAAAUGGGGGAGAUUUCGGCUCAAGGCUUGUUUGGCAGACUUCUGGAAGGCAAAUCUCCUGCAAAUCUCCUGCAGGUGCUAGGAACGGGACUACAUGGCCCAUGAGUCAUCACACCCGAUAAAACAAACAAAUAACAGUAACAAAGCAAUAAAACAAUUAUCCCAGUAAAAAAACAUCAACAUCAAACAUCAACUGGCAAUAAACUGGCAAUACUUAUUGUAAGAGUUCAUAAUCCUGUGGGAGAUGAAAGAAAAAGAAAGAAAGAAAGAAAGAAUAUACUUAUCAUUAUUAGAAACACGUUUGUUUGCUUUCUCCAAAGUUAAUGAAUCCUCAUUUAUAGGUUUCAGUAUUUCAUAACCUACCCUCGCGCCCCCACUUUGAUUUUGGUAUCUUCAGAGGUUGCCACCACCGGGAUCCAACAUGUCAACCACAGAACAAUCUGGUAUAUUAUCAUUGUCUAACCAUAAAAUGUUUACAUCAGCACUUUUAACAAUUUUAUUCAGGCUUAUUUUCUUGCCAGUUCUUGCAUAUAGUAAAUUAUGGUUUUUACAGUAUAUCAUUACAUCACCUUUAUAAUAAAAUUUCUUACAUUCACACUGCACUAUUGUGCUCCAUGUACAAAUAAGGUGAUCAACAGUUUAUCCUUUUCUUUAUGUAGAUGACAUUUACCAUUUUAGUUGUUUUUCAAUAUUCACCUUAAUUCCAUUUGCCCAA